AUGAAUAAGUGUGCGCUCACCAGAUUCAAAGAAAGGAGGCAAAAGGGGUUGCAGACCAGGAUAUUUACAGCCAUGGAAGCACUCCUUACAGAAGUAGAAAACCACCAGAGAUCUGUUGGACUUGUGGAUGGUGAAGUUCUUACUCUGGGCUUGAAGAUGUUGAUCUGUGAAGUGAGGAACAUCUGCAGUCCCUGGGCUCCAGACUGGUCGCCUAGCUUGCUCUGUG
RNAcentral lists this long non-coding RNA (226 nucleotides) under Coturnix japonica (Japanese quail). Its description in RNAcentral is "lncRNA (ENSCJPG00005017737.1)". Lineage: Eukaryota; Metazoa; Chordata; Aves; Galliformes; Phasianidae. The record is from RNAcentral.